ACCUGCUGUAGCACCAUUCAGAUUUGCACUUAGUUACCCAGAGACAACACUCACUGACUGUAAGAAGAAUAUUUAUUUUCGAGUUAAGUUUCAAGUUAUGUUUUUUUUCCUCCCCCAUUCAACCUCAAAGAUCAAUGCACUCACAAAUGUGCUCUACCUAUCUGUCUAUAACAGGCUGUGGUGAACAGAAGAUAUCUACCAGAAGGAAGGGAGCUACACUGUAUUCAUAUGUCUUCAAGCAAUUUGGAUCCUGGUAAACACGGAUUCCAGGAAGAGAAACCCAGAAAGCUCUCCUGGUGGGUAAAAAGACUUCUGGC
Long non-coding RNA from Gasterosteus aculeatus aculeatus (three-spined stickleback), 317 nucleotides. The record is from Ensembl. Lineage: Eukaryota; Metazoa; Chordata; Actinopteri; Perciformes; Gasterosteidae.